Alligator sinensis (Chinese alligator) is the source of this 105-nucleotide small nuclear RNA. NCBI's taxonomy places the organism in Eukaryota, Metazoa, Chordata, Crocodylia, Alligatoridae. The record is from RefSeq and is a predicted model, not a curated record.
UCCGACCCUCCAACUAUGAAACUAUGAAAAUUGAAACGAUACAGAGAAGAUUAGCAUAGCCCCUGUGCAAGGAUGACACAAAUGUGUGAAGUGUUCCAUAUUUUA